RNAcentral lists this ribosomal RNA (253 nucleotides) under uncultured bacterium. RNAcentral describes it as "partial 16S ribosomal RNA". It matches the Rfam family "Bacterial small subunit ribosomal RNA", at positions 524 to 776 of the family's 1533-position model. The record is from RNAcentral.
GACGUAGGGCGCGAGCGUUGUCCGGAAUUAUUGGGCGUAAAGAGCUCGUAGGCGGCUUGUCGCGUCGGCUGUGAAAACCUGGGGCUCAACCCCGGGCCUGCAGACGAUACGGGCAAGCUAGAAUUCGGUAGGGGAGACUGGAAUUCCUGGUGUAGCGGUGAAAUGCGUAGAGAUCCGGAGGAACACCAAUGGCGAAGGCAGUGUCCUGGGGAGUACCUGACGCUCAGGUGCGAAAGCCAGGGGAGCGAACGGG